Molecule: long non-coding RNA, 428 nt
Organism: Athene cunicularia (burrowing owl)
Lineage: Eukaryota; Metazoa; Chordata; Aves; Strigiformes; Strigidae
Exons: 2
Source: RefSeq, a predicted model, not a curated record
CAAUUUAACUCUUGCUGCUUUUCUGGGUUUGUAACUUUGGGGGUCUUUUGUAGAUGCUUCAAGUGAGUCCCGUACUCUCAGUUAUGCUAAAAAUUACUUUCAGCUUUGUAAAACAUGCCCUUUUAAAUUUAGACUCUGCUGCCAUUAUUUUUGGCUUGUAGUUCCUGUGACUAGCACAGAACCAAGCUCUGACAGAAGAGGACUUGCAUUAGACGUGGCAGUUCAUUUUGGCUUCACCCUCGUCACAUAGGUCUGCUGCUGCUCUGCGGGCAAUUAAUGCUGAAAUGUGAGCUACUCCACCUGCCAGCAGUGUCUUUUCAUCUGAAAGACUCGCUGCCCCACCAGUGAUAACACAGGCAAAGUCCUGACCUGUGGUGUCCUGGGGAGUGAAGGCCCAGCUCUCCGACGAAGCGCCGGCAGAGAGCAGA